This is a long non-coding RNA of Formica exsecta, 1408 nucleotides long. RefSeq lists it as uncharacterized. The record is from RefSeq and is a predicted model, not a curated record. Lineage: Eukaryota; Metazoa; Arthropoda; Insecta; Hymenoptera; Formicidae. The transcript is spliced from 3 exons.
GACUCUGGACCACAAAAGAGCGGUCGGAUCGGGAUGCUGCAUAAACGCGGCAACUGUGUUGGCAGUAAUUGACAGCUGCCGAAAAGCGGCGGCGGUCGGGCGUGAGUGCGCGGUCGCGAGGGGCGCGCGAUUGGGGUGAAAAAUCGGCGCGAAUGUAUGUACGUGAUAUCAACGCGAGAGUUUCGAAUCGCAGGGAGCGAUAACUACGGAGACAAUCAUCGGCCGUCCUCAUCUGAUCCUAUCGGCGUCUCGACGGUUUGCCCUGCUGUGCACGAGGGAGAAAGAGAGAUAUCUUUUUAAAGGCCCGGGCGUGUUUACAGUUCCACGUGUAUCUCUCUCUCGAGAUUUGUUUCUUUGGCCUUCCUUCCAAGUUUGUGUAUUACUUGACGAAAAGAGAAGAUACUACAAUAGGAAAAAAGGAAACUUUUUCGUUCUGUUUAAAAUCUAAUCAUCAUAAGAGGAGAAAGAUUAUAAUAGACAGUGCAGCUCUCUAAGAAGAACACGUCUGUUGCUUUUGAUGAUAGUAAAAGCGGUGCAAGUGAGACGAAAAUUUGCUGGAGAACGUGAGCCCUCGUUCGUAAGAACUUUGGUUUCUGUUCUGACUCCCAGAUAUGUGCCCGACGGCGCGAGGACAUGCCCCUUUCUGUCAACGCGUUGAACGACUUUUGAAGAGAUAUAGUACUCGUAAGCGCGACGCACACGAGUAUCAACGCCACAAGAUCUUGCGAUCGAAUCAAAUUUGAUGAUGCCGAUGAGAUUGUAUCAGGUGUCACAUGACGUUUGUAAAGAGAGAAAAAAAGGAGAGUAAAACAGAGCGAAAUAUGUAAAUUUCAUUCGAGUAGAGGGACAAGAUGAGUGCGGAUUCUUGCGAGAGACGCUAGGAAGGAUAAAGUGGGAGAAGAGGGGAAAACGAGAGGAGAGGAGGAAAAAAAAGCGCUAUGGAGUGAUGAACGAAAGAGGUGCGGAGGGAGGAUAUCGUGAUGAAGCGGGCGCGGGGACAGGAGAGACAAAGAGAGAAAGAGAAAGAGAGAGCUCGCGCGAUGUAUAAGGUAUAGGCUUUAGUUUGGGCAGCCCUCUUGGAAUGCGGCGGUCGCUUACAGCUUACACCACGCUGCGUAUAUAUACGUACAUACACGUAUAUUCAAUGCCGCGUAUAGGUACCUACAUACGGGUUUCAACACCGCGUCAAGAGUAUCACGCACCCCGACUAUCAUACUUUCGUCCGCACCCACGCGUUCGCGCUCAGCUGUAUCGGGCAAAUCUUCAAAUCUUUGUAAUCCUUUAACACUUCGCGAACUAAAUAAACGAAGAAAAAACGGUGCAAGUAGGCAAGUUCCGUAAAGUUAGUACCUCAUUCUUAAAAUUGCCUGGGAAAAAGUCGAUAUAUAAUCUCACAAAUAUAAAUAUA